ACUCCUACGGGAGGCAGCAGUGGGGAAUAUUGGACAAUGGGCGAAAGCCUGAUCCAGCAAUGCCGCGUGAGUGAUGAAGGCCUUAGGGUUGUAAAGCUCUUUUACCAGGGAUGAUAAUGACAGUACCUGGAGAAUAAGCUCCGGCUAACUCCGUGCCAGCAGCCGCGGUAAUAC
This 174-nucleotide ribosomal RNA is filed under the name uncultured bacterium. RNAcentral describes it as "partial 16S ribosomal RNA". It matches the Rfam family "Bacterial small subunit ribosomal RNA", at positions 335 to 526 of the family's 1533-position model. The record is from RNAcentral.